CGCCACCGACCACGACAAUGGGAAGGCGUUCCCGGAAAGUCCGCGGAAAGCAAGCACGCGACACGAGCUUCGAACAGACAACGCGUAAGUACUUACUUAUACGCCAUCUGCGUAUGUACGUUCCUGGGUACACGUGGUGCGUGAAUCACGGGACAUUUGUAGCCGCCAGUGUGUUACGUUUCUCCGACGAUCGCGACCACACGAAUAUCCAAGAAUGCGAGUCUCUUGACUAAUUACGCUGAUAUACUUAACGAUGUAUAAUAUUAGGUUGGCGCGUAUGAAAUACACUUUCUUUGGAAAUUAAAUUUAACGGAUCGAUAAGAAACAUUACCACGUUCGUAGGAUUGUAUUAUUUUAAAUUAAAAUGAACAGUGAAAUGUAGAAGUAACGUUGUACUACUACAAUUCUACACCAUCUGGUUUAUAUCGAGUGUUGUGUAUAUUUUACACAUUCGUUAUGUGAUCUCAUCGACGACGAAUAACAGCGUCGAAUGUAUUAAAUGUUGUCCUAUCAUCGAUUAUAAAUAUACCAUUUUUAUAUUUAUUUACUAUAAUAAGGUAGGUGCAUAAAUAUUGAAUUUUACGAAGAUCUCAGUAGACAUUAGCAAUAAUCAGAGUAUUCUUACGAUCUCUUUGAUAAUUAUCGAUUACGUUUGUCAUAUAUUCGUUAUAUUAAGAUUAUGAAUAAGCGAAAUGAUUCUGUCAUUUCUUUACAUGAUUUUAGGCUUAGAUAUGAGUUUAUAUUCCAUCUGGAUAAUAACGUAUUGCAUGAUUAUUGUACAAGAAACUGUAAAUAAGUUUAAUCGAAUAAUUUUUUAAUUCUAGAAGUGAUAAUCCGUACGACUUUGAAAUAAUGAAACAUAUAACUAUUGCGAUUAGCUGUGAAAGAAGUAGAAUAAAGUUAGUCCAUGUCAGACAGAUCGAAAAUAUUGAUUAAAUCAGUCUAGUAGAUGGUUAUAAAUCCACGAAACAAUUGAUCAUUGAUAUAUAUUUAUCUGAUAAAAUUCAUCUAAUCUAUAUACGUAUGAUAUAUGUAUAUUCAAAAGUCUUUUUACGGCAACUGUUUUUUAAAGUUUCUUUUAUCCGCCAUUAGAUGAAUUCAUGUAUUAUACUUGGGUCUGGAGUUUAAACAAUUAUCAGACGUACCACAUUUUAUGUGGGCUAUAGGUGGCGAUCGUCAAGUUCAUGUACACGUGCAUGGCUUAGAUUUACCUAUAAGAAUCAAAGAAGAAAUAUAUGAAAAUGAAAUUUUAAUCAAAUACAAUAUUUACGGCGUUGGCUUCCUUUAGAAGGAUUUAAUGGGAGAUUAUUAUCUACAGAUAGGUAUAAUUUUUCUAAUCAAGAUGGUACAGUUGACCGUAGCAGAGAUAAAGUAAGAUUGCCAUCCAUGGCUUGGCAAUGGGAAGAUGAUUGGCAAAUAGAAACUACAUCAGAUGGCCAACCGUUGGAUCAUGAUGUAAAUAUGAUAAAAUUUCUUUAAAUAAUCAUCCGAAUUAGAUUCUCAAAUUUAAAGGGAAGAACCGUACCCUAUAUAAACAAAACCACGGAUUUAUCAAAUACAAGCGUACUAAAUACAAGUGUAAUUCAUCGUUUAUAAAGUACCAGUUUAUAAGGUAUUAAAGACUCUUUAUACCAGGUAAUUGCAAAAAAGAAAAAACUCUAGAUCUCCGUGACCGACGUGCAAUUGUUCGCGUAGUGGAAUAUCACGCGGCGAAUCAUUUCUAAGAUGUUGCUGGCGAUGUCGCAAUGACGGAUUUACCUCAUCCACCAGCACGACAUUUAGAUCGAAAGUCCAUCGAAUGAUCUCGUCUCAGGAUGAUUAAUUCGACUCAUUACCAGUGAGUAAUCACUAUUAUUAUCCACGUGUUCUAUGUAGCCCGGUUUUGUUCGCCCACGAACCUAGCUGGACCAGUGCACGCAAUAGUACGGAAAAUGGUGUUUGCGAAAUCGAUCAGGAAGAACUAGCCUUUCACGGGAAUCCGUCUGAUAGACGAGACCUGAUCAAACGCACGCGUGAUUCUUAGAAGAAACAUCGUUAACUGAAAAACUAUUGGCGACGCAAACUGACGAUGUUAAGUACAAGAAAUUUCGUGUUUUGGCAAAAUUUUUACUCUUCUCAUGAAACACUCAAAGACAGAACGGAAAUGAUACAUGAAGAAGAGACGAGAAAGGAAGAUAGGCAUGAAACAACUACAUUGUCAAAUAUAAAUUCCUAGAUUUUUAGAGAUUUUUGUACGUGUUCUUCACAAAGUUUAUGGAUAAAGUAAAAAUGACGCAUAGAAUAAAACACGAAGAAGAAAAAGAUACCUUAAAAAAACAUUCGUCGAGCAACCAUCAAACAUCGAAGAGAGAAACGAUAUGAAACGAUACUGAAACGACUAUUUCUGUAAUUUUCGAUCAUAGAAUCAAAUAUACGAACAUCCCUUUGUCAAAGGAAAGAUUAAAUUUUGAUAAUUAGGAUGUAAAUAAAUCAAUAAAAAAUUAUUUUGCGCGCUUGAUUACUUAAUAGCUUAAUUAAUAUUACGACAAAAUUAUGGAGCAACAUUACCAGAUAAGCAAUAUAUGUACAUGGAAAAGGAAAAAGCACAAAAAAAUUUCAUGUAUGUCUGUGUCUAUUUGUAGCAACAUAAUAACAAGAUAUAACGUUAUAAUAAAAUAUUUACGAUGAAUAUAAACAUUUCAAUUCUUGUAAUACACCUUAAUACGUUAUAAACUCCUAAUGCCCGUCCAGUUUACUAUACACGAGCCGUGCACGAUGACGAUGGGAGGGUACACAUACGCGUUUCUGAAGGAUGAUUCUGCGUUUCGUAAUAGCCUUUCGAGACCUGUCACACUACGCCACGUGUACGGCUAAAUUUAUUUGCUU
Molecule: long non-coding RNA, 2865 nt
Organism: Bombus terrestris (buff-tailed bumblebee)
Lineage: Eukaryota; Metazoa; Arthropoda; Insecta; Hymenoptera; Apidae
Exons: 3
Source: RefSeq, a predicted model, not a curated record